RNA transcript from Nicotiana tabacum (common tobacco), 3079 nucleotides. RefSeq lists it as uncharacterized. The record is from RefSeq and is a predicted model, not a curated record. NCBI's taxonomy places the organism in Eukaryota, Viridiplantae, Streptophyta, Magnoliopsida, Solanales, Solanaceae.
AUCAAUAACUAUUUGGGUGCCUUACCCUAGAGCCGCCCUGGAUUGAUUUCCUUGGAUUGAUUUACAGAUAUUAUACGAAUGAGUGCUGCUGUGCUUCCUAAACAUGUGGCUGCUGUAUUAAAAUGUCAAAAGAACCCAUUAAGGGCACUAGAAAUAUUCAAUUCAGUGAAAAAGGAAGAUGGGUUUAACCAUAAUUUGUCUACCUAUAAAUGUAUGGUCGAAAAGCUUGGUUGUUAUGGGGAGUUCAAUGAAAUGGAAGGCGUCAUCGAAAAAGCGAGGCAGAAGAUUGAUAAUAAGAUGUUAGAAGGGGUGUACAUUACUGCUAUUAGAAGUUAUGGGAAGAAAGGGAAAGUUCAAGAGGCGGUUGACGUGUUUGAGAAGAUGGAGUUUUUCAAUUGUCAGCCGUCUGUUCAUUCGUAUAACACGAUCAUGAAUGUAUUGGUUGAACAUGGGUUUUUUAAACAAUCUCAUAAGGUUUAUAUGAGAAUGCUGGAAAAGGGGAUUUCUCCUGAUGUAUAUACCUUUACUAUUAGAAUAAAGUCGUUUUGUAGGACGAACCGGCCUCAUGUUGCUUUGAGGCUUUUGAAUAACAUGCCCGAUCAAGGAUGCAAAUUUAAUGCAGUUGCUUACUGUACAGUAGUUGGUGGAUUUUAUGAAGUGAAUUGUCGAGUUGAGGCUUGCGAAUUGUUCGAUGAAAUGCUUAGGCUCGGAAUAACUCCUGAUGUUACUACGUUUAAUAAGCUUAUAUGUAUGCUUUGUAAGAAGGGGGAUGUCCAAGAAAGUGAAAGGCUUCUUAAUAAGAUUAUGAAAAGAGGAGUGUUUCCAAAUCUUUUUACAUGUAAUGUCUUGAUGCAAGGUCUUUCUGAGAGAGGCCAACUAAAUGAAGCUGCUAGGAUGUUAGAGACUUUGAACAAAGAAGGUUUAAAUGCUGAUGUAGUCACUUAUAACACUCUUAUAUGUGGUUUAUGCAAGCACUCAAAGGUUGCUGAAGCUGAGUCUUAUUUGCAUAAAAUGGUGAACAGUGGGUUUGAGCCUGAUGCAUUCACCUAUAACACAAUCAUUGGUGCAUAUUGCAAAUUGGGUAUGAUACAGAAAGCAGACAGAAUUCUUAAUAAUGCAGUUUUUAAAGGUUUUGUUCCUGAUGAGUUUACUUUCUGCUCCCUUAUUUAUGGAUUAUGUCAGGAUGGUGACUUUAACAGAGCCAAGAGUUUAUUUAAUGAAGCCGCAGGUAAAGGUAUGAAGUGUAAUGUAAUCCUAUAUAAUACCUUAAUUAAGGGAAUGUGUCAGCAGGGACUUAUAUUAGAAGCGUUGAAGUUGAUGACUGAAAUGCCUGAGAAUGGUUGCAGGCCUGAUACAUGGACUUAUAAUCUGAUCAUAAAGGGUUUGUGCAAGAUGGGCUGUGUAUCUGAUGCUAGUAAUAUCCUGAAUGUUGCCGUGGCCAAAGGGACCCUUCCUGAUAUUUUUACCUUCAAUACCUUGAUUGAUGGUUAUUGCAAACAGUCGAAAUUGGCUGAUGCAAUCGAGAUUCUAAAUACCAUGUGGGAUCAUGACGUUGUUCCAGAUGUGAUAACGUAUAACACAAUGUUGGAUGGACUUUGCAAGCUUAAAACUUCUGAUGAUGUGAUGGAAACCUUCAAAGUCAUGGUGGAAAAGGGGUGUGUCCCAAACAUAAUCACAUAUAAUAUUCUCAUUGAGAGCCUUUGUAAAUCAAGAAAGUUUAUGAAAGCUUUAGACUUACUUGAGGAUAUUCAAAGCAAGGGUCUUAUUCCUGAUACAGUGACUUUUGGCACUUUGAUAAAUGGGUUUUGUGAGAAUGAGGAUUUGGAAGGAGCCUAUGAGCUAUUCAGAAGAAUGAAAACACAAUAUAAUUGCUCUCAUACUACUGCAACGUACAAUAUUUUGAUUAGUGCAUUUGCUAAAAAGCUGAAAAUGGACAUAGCAGAGAAGCUAUUUCUUGAGAUGAGUGAAUGUGGCUGUUCUCCUGACAAUUACACCUACCGUUGUAUGAUAGAUGGUUUCUGCAAGGCAGACAACAGCGAAUUGGGGUACAAGUUUUUGCUUGACAACAUGACGAAAGAGUUUCUUCCAUCAAAAGAAACAGUAGGGCGAGUGAUCAAUUGCCUAUGCGUGAAGAACAGGUUGCUCGAAGCAGUUGGUAUCAUUCAUCUCAUGGUGCAGAAGGGUGUUGUACCUGAUGUGGUCCACACAAUUUUUGAAGCAGAUAAAAAGGAUGUGGCAGCUCCCAAGAUCGUUGUGGAAGACUUGCUGAAGAAGAAUCACAUAACCUAUUAUGCCUAUGAGCUUUUAUACGACGGGAUAAGAGACAAAAAGGUUUUGAAGAAAUUAUCCGUGCAGAAAAUAUUCUACCACUAGUCACUUGAGCAUUGAUGGCAAUCAAACUAAGGUAAUAUUGAGUCACGAUUUGUGAGAAGUAGCAAAACAUGAUUGAAGCUAUGCUGUUUCAAAUCCAUCUUACAAGAGCGAUAUAGCUGUAGUCUCAUGAAGAAGACAGUGGUGCAAAAACAUGAUGGCGAAAGCCUGUGACAGUAGCUGAAAACAGCGGACCUUUGAAGAGAGAGUGGGUUUAGCCUCAAUGCUUCUUGGCUAACUCAAUCAUGUUGAUUCAAUGCUUAAUUAUCCAAUGAUGUUUCCCAAGUCUCUCCAUGGGACAUCUCCUGGUUACACCUCUCAGCACUCUUAGAUCAGCAUGUGUGAGAGUUGGUGAGAGAAUAUCGCCAUGACUGAAAUGCAUGGGGCGUGGAUGGUAGAAGUUGAUCUGAAUAUCAAGAGUGGAAUCUUAGAUGCAGUGAAAUCUUUUACCCCUUAACUGAUGUUGUGAACUGAUAACUCUCUCUGAGGCAAGGCGUAGAUCUCCUUUAUGGGACAUGCAGAGCAUAAUGACUUGGGUCAUUGCUUAAUAGAGCCUAAAGCCAUCUUUUCUGGAGCUAUCAAACAGAAUUUUGACAGUUGAAAAUGGUUAGAUCUAAUCAGCUAGUAUUUGGUAUAUCGUAAAUGUUGUCUUCUUGUGGAACUGUUCUUCUAUUGUUUCUUGAUAAGUGAACAUAAAAAGUGUUUGUGU